RNAcentral lists this ribosomal RNA (278 nucleotides) under uncultured bacterium. RNAcentral describes it as "partial 16S ribosomal RNA". It matches the Rfam family "Bacterial small subunit ribosomal RNA", at positions 28 to 304 of the family's 1533-position model. The record is from RNAcentral.
GAUGAACGCUAGCGGCAGGCCUAAUACAUGCAAGUCGAACGGUAACAGGUGUAGCAAUACAUGCUGACGAGUGGCGCACGGGUGCGUAACGCGUAUGCAAUCUACCUUUAACUGGUGAAUAGCCCGAAGAAAUUCGGAUUAAUACACCAUAGUAUAGUUGAGUGGCAUCACUUAACUAUUAAAACUCCGGUGGUUAAAGAUGAGCAUGCGUGACAUAGCUAGUUGGUGAGGUAAUGGCUCACCAAGGCUACGAUGUCUAGGGGAUCUGAGAGGAUUAA